This 292-nucleotide ribosomal RNA is filed under the name uncultured bacterium. RNAcentral describes it as "partial 16S ribosomal RNA". It matches the Rfam family "Bacterial small subunit ribosomal RNA", at positions 505 to 796 of the family's 1533-position model. The record is from RNAcentral.
GUGUCAGCCGCCGCGGUAAUACGAAGGUGGCAAGCGUUGUUCGGAUUUACUGGGCGUAAAGGGAGCGUAGGUGGUCGGGUAAGCCCCGCGGGAAAGCUCCAGGCUUAACCUGGAAAGGUCGCGGGGGACUGCGCGGCUAGAGGACGGGAGAGGAGCGCGGAAUUCCCGGUGUAGCGGUGAAAUGCGUAGAGAUCGGGAGGAAGGCCGGUGGCGAAGGCGGCGCUCUGGAACGGCCCUGACACUGAGGCUCGAAAGCGUGGGGAGCAAACAGGAUUAGAUACCCCUGUAGUCC